Molecule: ribosomal RNA, 253 nt
Filed under: uncultured bacterium
Lineage: Bacteria
Description: partial 16S ribosomal RNA
Rfam family: Bacterial small subunit ribosomal RNA
Source: RNAcentral
UACGGAGGGGGCUAGCGUUGUUCGGAAUUACUGGGCGUAAAGCGCACGUAGGCGGACUGUUAAGUCGGGGGUGAAAUCCUGGGGCUCAACCUCAGAAUUGCCUCCGAUACUGGCAGUCUCGAGUGCGGGAGAGGUGAGUGGAAUUCCCAGUGUAGAGGUGAAAUUCGUAGAUAUUGGGAAGAACACCAGUGGCGAAGGCGGCUCACUGGCCCGUAACUGACGCUGAGGCGCGACAGCGUGGGGAGCAAACAGG